GUGGGGAAUAUUGGACAAUGGGCGAAAGCCUGAUCCAGCCAUGCCGCGUGAGUGAUGAAGGCCUUAGGGUUGUAAAGCUCUUUUGUCCGGGAAGAUAAUGACUGUACCGGAAGAAUAAGCCCCGGCUAACUUCGUGCCAGCAGCCGCGGUAAUACGAAGGGGGCUAGCGUUGCUCGGAAUCACUGGGCGUAAAGGGCGCGUAGGCGGACUUUUAAGUCGGAGGUGAAAGCCCAGGGCUCAACCCUGGAAUUGCCUUCGAUACUGGGAGUCUUGAGUUCGGAAGAGGUUGGUGGAACUGCGAGUGUAGAGGUGAAAUUCGUAGAUAUUCGCAAGAACACCGGUGGCGAAGGCGGCCAACUGGUCCGAAACUGACGCUGAGGCGCGAAAGCGUGGGGAGCAAACAGGAUUAGAUACCCGUGUAGUCC
RNAcentral lists this ribosomal RNA (425 nucleotides) under uncultured bacterium. Its description in RNAcentral is "bacterial SSU rRNA". It matches the Rfam family "Bacterial small subunit ribosomal RNA", at positions 354 to 796 of the family's 1533-position model. The record is from RNAcentral.